Molecule: ribosomal RNA, 2902 nt
Filed under: Escherichia coli STEC_O31
Lineage: Bacteria; Pseudomonadati; Pseudomonadota; Gammaproteobacteria; Enterobacterales; Enterobacteriaceae
Description: bacterial LSU rRNA
Rfam family: Bacterial large subunit ribosomal RNA
Source: RNAcentral
UUAAGCGACUAAGCGUACACGGUGGAUGCCCUGGCAGUCAGAGGCGAUGAAGGACGUGCUAAUCUGCGAUAAGCGUCGGUAAGGUGAUAUGAACCGUUAUAACCGGCGAUUUCCGAAUGGGGAAACCCAGUGUGAUUCGUCACACUAUCAUUAACUGAAUCCAUAGGUUAAUGAGGCGAACCGGGGGAACUGAAACAUCUAAGUACCCCGAGGAAAAGAAAUCAACCGAGAUUCCCCCAGUAGCGGCGAGCGAACGGGGAGCAGCCCAGAGCCUGAAUCAGUGUGUGUGUUAGUGGAAGCGUCUGGAAAGGCGCGCGAUACAGGGUGACAGCCCCGUACACAAAAAUGCACAUGCUGUGAGCUCGAUGAGUAGGGCGGGACACGUGGUAUCCUGUCUGAAUAUGGGGGGACCAUCCUCCAAGGCUAAAUACUCCUGACUGACCGAUAGUGAACCAGUACCGUGAGGGAAAGGCGAAAAGAACCCCGGCGAGGGGAGUGAAAAAGAACCUGAAACCGUGUACGUACAAGCAGUGGGAGCACGCUUAGGCGUGUGACUGCGUACCUUUUGUAUAAUGGGUCAGCGACUUAUAUUCUGUAGCAAGGUUAACCGAAUAGGGGAGCCGAAGGGAGACCGAGUCUUAACUGGGCGUUAAGUUGCAGGGUAUAGACCCGAAACCCGGUGAUCUAGCCAUGGGCAGGUUGAAGGUUGGGUAACACUAACUGGAGGACCGAACCGACUAAUGUUGAAAAAUUAGCGGAUGACUUGUGGCUGGGGGUGAAAGGCCAAUCAAACCGGGAGAUAGCUGGUUCUCCCCGAAAGCUAUUUAGGUAGCGCCUCGUGAAUUCAUCUCCGGGGGUAGAGCACUGUUUCGGCAAGGGGGUCAUCCCGACUUACCAACCCGAUGCAAACUACGAAUACCGGAGAAUGUUAUCACGGGAGACACACGGCGGGUGCUAACGUCCGUCGUGAAGAGGGAAACAACCCAGACCGCCAGCUAAGGUCCCAAAGUCAUGGUUAAGUGGGAAACGAUGUGGGAAGGCCCAGACAGCCAGGAUGUUGGCUUAGAAGCAGCCAUCAUUUAAAGAAAGCGUAAUAGCUCACUGGUCGAGUCGGCCUGCGCGGAAGAUGUAACGGGGCUAAACCAUGCACCGAAGCUGCGGCAGCGACGCUUAUGCGUUGUUGGGUAGGGGAGCGUUCUGUAAGCCUGUGAAGGUGUACUGUGAGGUAUGCUGGAGGUAUCAGAAGUGCGAAUGCUGACAUAAGUAACGAUAAAGCGGGUGAAAAGCCCGCUCGCCGGAAGACCAAGGGUUCCUGUCCAACGUUAAUCGGGGCAGGGUGAGUCGACCCCUAAGGCGAGGCCGAAAGGCGUAGUCGAUGGGAAACAGGUUAAUAUUCCUGUACUUGGUGUUACUGCGAAGGGGGGACGGAGAAGGCUAUGUUGGCCGGGCGACGGUUGUCCCGGUUUAAGCGUGUAGGCUGGUUUUCCAGGCAAAUCCGGAAAAUCAAGGCUGAGGCGUGAUGACGAGGCACUACGGUGCUGAAGCAACAAAUGCCCUGCUUCCAGGAAAAGCCUCUAAGCAUCAGGUAACAUCAAAUCGUACCCCAAACCGACACAGGUGGUCAGGUAGAGAAUACCAAGGCGCUUGAGAGAACUCGGGUGAAGGAACUAGGCAAAAUGGUGCCGUAACUUCGGGAGAAGGCACGCUGAUAUGUAGGUGAAGUGCCUUGCUGAUGGAGCUGAAAUCAGUCGAAGAUACCAGCUGGCUGCAACUGUUUAUUAAAAACACAGCACUGUGCAAACACGAAAGUGGACGUAUACGGUGUGACGCCUGCCCGGUGCCGGAAGGUUAAUUGAUGGGGUCAGCGCAAGCGAAGCUCUUGAUCGAAGCCCCGGUAAACGGCGGCCGUAACUAUAACGGUCCUAAGGUAGCGAAAUUCCUUGUCGGGUAAGUUCCGACCUGCACGAAUGGCGUAAUGAUGGCCAGGCUGUCUCCACCCGAGACUCAGUGAAAUUGAACUCGCUGUGAAGAUGCAGUGUACCCGCGGCAAGACGGAAAGACCCCGUGAACCUUUACUAUAGCUUGACACUGAACAUUGAGCCUUGAUGUGUAGGAUAGGUGGGAGGCUUUGAAGUGUGGACGCCAGUCUGCAUGGAGCCGACCUUGAAAUACCACCCUUUAAUGUUUGAUGUUCUAACGUUGACCCGUAAUCCGGGUUGCGGACAGUGUCUGGUGGGUAGUUUGACUGGGGCGGUCUCCUCCUAAAGAGUAACGGAGGAGCACGAAGGUUGGCUAAUCCUGGUCGGACAUCAGGAGGUUAGUGCAAUGGCAUAAGCCAGCUUGACUGCGAGCGUGACGGCGCGAGCAGGUGCGAAAGCAGGUCAUAGUGAUCCGGUGGUUCUGAAUGGAAGGGCCAUCGCUCAACGGAUAAAAGGUACUCCGGGGAUAACAGGCUGAUACCGCCCAAGAGUUCAUAUCGACGGCGGUGUUUGGCACCUCGAUGUCGGCUCAUCACAUCCUGGGGCUGAAGUAGGUCCCAAGGGUAUGGCUGUUCGCCAUUUAAAGUGGUACGCGAGCUGGGUUUAGAACGUCGUGAGACAGUUCGGUCCCUAUCUGCCGUGGGCGCUGGAGAACUGAGGGGGGCUGCUCCUAGUACGAGAGGACCGGAGUGGACGCAUCACUGGUGUUCGGGUUGUCAUGCCAAUGGCACUGCCCGGUAGCUAAAUGCGGAAGAGAUAAGUGCUGAAAGCAUCUAAGCACGAAACUUGCCCCGAGAUGAGUUCUCCCUGACUCCUUGAGAGUCCUGAAGGAACGUUGAAGACGACGACGUUGAUAGGCCGGGUGUGUAAGCGCAGCGAUGCGUUGAGCUAACCGGUACUAAUGAACCGUGAGGCUUAACCUU